This 69-nucleotide transfer RNA is filed under the name Mizuhopecten yessoensis (Yesso scallop). RNAcentral's name for it is "tRNA-Asp". Lineage: Eukaryota; Metazoa; Mollusca; Bivalvia; Pectinida; Pectinidae. The record is from RNAcentral.
GAAAGGGUAGUGAAAGAAUCAUGGGCAGUUGUCGUCCGCUCGUUGCGCCGCUGGGCGCCCCUUUUUCCA